UUUAUUUACAUCAAACUAAACUAACUGCUAUCUUGAAAUGUUGAAAAAGUGUUUUUAAAUAAUCCAGGCUGAUCCCUCACCUUGAUCACCUCUGGAGUUGAGGUUAACAGCCGAGGUAAUUUUUAUGAUGAAAAUGAAAAAA
Molecule: long non-coding RNA, 142 nt
Organism: Salvelinus namaycush (lake trout)
Lineage: Eukaryota; Metazoa; Chordata; Actinopteri; Salmoniformes; Salmonidae
Exons: 2
Source: RefSeq, a predicted model, not a curated record